CCUCGGGAGGCAGCAGUGGGGAAUCUUGCACAAUGGAGGAAACUCUGAUGCAGCGAUGCCGCGUGAGUGAAGAAGGCCUUUGGGUUGUAAAGCUCUUUUGUAGGGGAAGAUAAUGACUGUACCCUAAGAAUAAGGUCCGGCUAACUUCGUGCCAGCAGCCGCGGUAAUACGAAGGGACCUAGCGUAGUUCGGAAUUACUGGGCGUAAAGCGCGCGUAGGCCGUUGAGUUAGUUAAUUGUGAAAUCCCAAAGCUUAACUUUGGAACUGCAAUUAAACUGCUCGACUAGAGUUUGAUAGAGGAAAGCGGAAUACAUAGUGUAGAGGUGAAAUUCGUAGAUAUUAUGUAGAACACCAGUUGCGAAGGCGGCUUUCUGGAUCAACACUGACGCUGAGGCGCGAAAGUAUGGGUAGCAAAGAGGAUUAGAUACCCUCGUAGUCCAUACCAUAAACGAUGAUNUCUANAUGUGUAAUUAUUUAUAGUAUCNCANCUACACAUAG
Molecule: ribosomal RNA, 498 nt
Filed under: uncultured bacterium
Lineage: Bacteria
Description: bacterial SSU rRNA
Rfam family: Bacterial small subunit ribosomal RNA
Source: RNAcentral